UACGAGAGGGGCAAGUGUUAUUCAGUCAAAUUGGGCGUAAAGCGUCUUUAGGCGGUUUUUCGUGUGUUAAUGUUUAAAAAUCAAAACGUAAUUUUGAAAUAUUCAUUAAAACUGUUUUUCUAGAGUUUUUAAGAGGUUAGUAUUAUUUUUUCAAAAAAGUUAAAAUUUUUUGAUAGAAAAAGGAGUACCAUAAGGUGAAGACCACUAACUAGUAUAAACUGACGCUAAAAGACUAAAGCAUGGGGAGCGAUUGGG
RNAcentral lists this ribosomal RNA (255 nucleotides) under uncultured bacterium. RNAcentral's name for it is "partial 16S ribosomal RNA". It matches the Rfam family "Bacterial small subunit ribosomal RNA", at positions 524 to 776 of the family's 1533-position model. The record is from RNAcentral.